AUUGAACGCUGGCGGCAGGCCUAACACAUGCAAGUCGAGCGGAUGAAGGGAGCUUGCUCCUGGAUUCAGCGGCGGACGGGUGAGUAAUGCCUAGGAAUCUGCCUGGUAGUGGGGGAUAACGUCCGGAAACGGGCGCUAAUACCGCAUACGUCCUGAGGGAGAAAGUGGGGGAUCUUCGGACCUCACGCUAUCAGAUGAGCCUAGGUCGGAUUAGCUAGUUGGUGGGGUAAAGGCCUACCAAGGCGGCGAUCCGUAACUGGUCUGAGAGGAUGAUCAGUCACACUGGAACUGAGACACGGUCCAGACUCCUACGGGAGGCAGCAGUGGGGAAUAUUGGACACUGGGCGAAAGCCUGAUCCAGCCAUGCCGCGUGUGUGAAGAAGGUCUUCGGAUUGUAAAGCACUUUAAGUUGGGAGGAAGGGCAGUAAGUUAAUACCUUGCUGUUUUGACGUUACCAACAGAAUAAGCACCGGCUAACUUCGUG
This 484-nucleotide ribosomal RNA is filed under the name uncultured bacterium. RNAcentral describes it as "partial 16S ribosomal RNA". It matches the Rfam family "Bacterial small subunit ribosomal RNA", at positions 30 to 507 of the family's 1533-position model. The record is from RNAcentral.